This 835-nucleotide ribosomal RNA is filed under the name Zygomyia angusta. RNAcentral's name for it is "SSU rRNA". It matches the Rfam family "Eukaryotic small subunit ribosomal RNA", at positions 490 to 1249 of the family's 1831-position model. The record is from RNAcentral. Lineage: Eukaryota; Metazoa; Arthropoda; Insecta; Diptera; Mycetophilidae.
UCACAUCCGAGGCCUUGUAAUUGGAAUGAGUACACUUUAAAUCCUUUAACAAGGAUCAAUUGGAGGGCAAGUCUGGUGCCAGCAGCCGCGGUAAUUCCAGCUCCAAUAGCGUAUAUUAAAGUUGUUGCGGUUAAAACGUUCGUAGUUGAACUUGUGUCUCACACGGGCAGUUACCAAGGUUAAGUUUACUUUUCCGGUAUCUUGUCUUAUCUUCACUAGUUUUCGGACUUGUGAAAAGUGCGUAGACGUAUUAUCGGCGUGUUCGCUCCCGUAGCGUUCACAUCAGCUCAUUUCGUUGAUCUUAACCGAUUGAUGUUGUGAGCCGAUACUAAUUACUUUGAACAAAUUAGAGUGCUUCAAGCAGGCUUCAAUGCCUAAAUAUUCUGUGCAUGGAAUAAUGAAAUAGGACAUCUGUUCUACUUUCAUUGGUUUUUUAGACCAAGAUGUAAUGAUUAAUGGAAGCAGUUGGGGGCAUUAGUAUUACAACGCGAGAGGUGAAAUUCUUAGACCGUUGUAAGACUGACUAAAGCGAAAGCAUUUGCCAAAGAUGUUUUCAUUUAAUCAAGAACGAAAGUUAGAGGUUCGAAGGCGAUCAGAUACCGCCCUAGUUCUAACCAUAAACGAUGCCAGCUAGCAAUUGAGUGUAGCUACUACUAUGGCUCUUUCAGUCGCUUCUCGGGAAACCAAAGCUUUUGGGCUCCGGGGGAAGUAUGGUUGCAAAGCUGAAACUUAAAGGAAUUGACGGAAGGGCACCACCAGGAGUGGAGCCUGCGGCUUAAUUUGACUCAACACGGGAAAACUUACCAGGUCCGAACAUAAAUGAGUAAGACAGAUU